GACGAACGCUGGCGGCGUGCUUAACACAUGCAAGUCGAACGGAAAGGCCCUGCUUUUGUGGGGUGCUCGAGUGGCGAACGGGUGAGUAACACGUGAGUAACCUGCCCUUGACUUUGGGAUAACUUCAGGAAACUGGGGCUAAUACCGGAUAGGAGCUCCUGCUGCAUGGUGGGGGUUGGAAAGUUUCGGCGGUUGGGGAUGGACUCGCGGCUUAUCAGGUUGUUGGUGGGGUAGUGGCUUACCAAGGCUUUGACGGGUAGCCGGCCUGAGAGGGUGACCGGCCACAUUGGGACUGAGAUGCGGCCCAGACUCCUACGGGAGGCAGAAGUGGGGAAUAGUGCACAAUGGGCGGAAGCCUGAUGCAGCAACGCCGCGUGCGGGAUGACGGCCUUCGGGUUGUAAACCGCUUUCGCCUGUGACGAAGCGUGAGUGACGGUAAUGGGUAAAGAAGCACCGGCUAACUACGUG
This 468-nucleotide ribosomal RNA is filed under the name uncultured bacterium. RNAcentral describes it as "partial 16S ribosomal RNA". It matches the Rfam family "Bacterial small subunit ribosomal RNA", at positions 28 to 507 of the family's 1533-position model. The record is from RNAcentral.